RNAcentral lists this ribosomal RNA (154 nucleotides) under uncultured Gammaproteobacteria bacterium. Its description in RNAcentral is "partial 16S ribosomal RNA". It matches the Rfam family "Bacterial small subunit ribosomal RNA", at positions 355 to 499 of the family's 1533-position model. The record is from RNAcentral. Lineage: Bacteria; Pseudomonadati; Pseudomonadota; Gammaproteobacteria.
UGGGGAAUAUUGGACAAUGGGGGGAACCCUGAUCCAGCCAUGCCGCGUGUGUGAAGAAGGCCUUAUGGUUGUAAAGCACUUUAAGCGAGGAGGAGGCUACUGAGACUAAUACUNCUUGGAUAGUGGACGUUACUCGCAGAAUAAGCACCGGCUA